This 326-nucleotide ribosomal RNA is filed under the name uncultured eukaryote. RNAcentral describes it as "partial 18S ribosomal RNA". It matches the Rfam family "Eukaryotic small subunit ribosomal RNA", at positions 1470 to 1796 of the family's 1831-position model. The record is from RNAcentral.
CCCUUAGAUGUUCUGGGCCGCACGCGCGCUACACUGAUACGUUCAACGAGUCCAAAACCUUGAUUGAUAGGUCUGGGUAAUCUUUUGAAGACGUAUCGUGCUAGGGAUAGAUUAUUGCAAUUAUUAAUCUUGAACGAGGAAUUCCUAGUAAACGCAAGUCAUCAGCUUGCAUUGAUUACGUCCCUGCCCUUUGUACACACCGCCCGUCGCACCUACCGAUUGAGUGAUCCGGUGAAUAAUUCGGACUGACGCAGUGCUCAGCUUCUGGACGUUGCGUCGGAAAGUUUCAUGAACCUUAUCACUUAGAGGAAGGAGAAGUCGUAACA